AAAAGAAUUUGUUUAUUUAAAAUGUUCAAGCAUCUACCAUUGAGGGAGUAAAAUCCUUGGUUUAUUUACAAUUUUUUUUAUUUAUUACUUUAGUUCAACUAUUCUUCUAUUAAAAGCCUAUAGCUUUGUAUGGAGGAAAUCUGAAAAGUCCUGUAUACUAAUGCCCUUUCAGAAAUAUCUAUUGUAUGUUUGUAGCGGUGAAGACACGUGUUGUUUCAUUUACUCAUGUCGAACCUAAUUUCUCCUCUCUUUCUCUCAUUGAACCUUCUCAAUUAAAUUCCUUGAUCUUCUUUUCUUUUUUUAUUCCUCCCUUUCUCAUGUACAUUUAGGGACUGUGUUCGUCAUUAUCAAAUAUCAACCUUCCUUUCACAAGGAAAGAUAUGAUAUGGACCUUUGUGCAUGUCUACUCUAAUAAAUGAUUUUGCUCUGUUAAUAAAUGAUUGGGCUUUUAAAUCUACCAAAUUGAACUUUUUUCCCUCAACAUUUUGCAGGCUGAAUACAGAUCCAACAAAUGUAUUACCUGUUUUUUCUUGGAAGCAACAUUUAAAUAUAAACAUCAUCAACAAUGAAGAUGUGAAACUAAAAUUUGCUUACUCUUUUUUGGUGUUUAUGAAGGAGAAAGAACUCAACUUUACAUACAGCAACAUGCAAUUUUUUUCCCAAGUCAUAUAAAACGCAGGUCUUUUAACGUGUCGCACCAACUUUCCUGAACAUUAUGUAUUCAAGCUUUCUGGGCAUAAUUUACUGAUGACUCAAACACUUGGACCCUAAAGUGGUGCAACUUGAAUCAUUUCACUUUGUCUCCGCGAGUAUGAAAAUGAGAGUAUUCACAUGGUGUUCACUUUGUGACUUCACAACGCUCAUCAAAUUUACUUUUCC
This is a long non-coding RNA of Solanum tuberosum (potato), 879 nucleotides long. RefSeq lists it as uncharacterized. The transcript has 3 exons. Lineage: Eukaryota; Viridiplantae; Streptophyta; Magnoliopsida; Solanales; Solanaceae. The record is from RefSeq and is a predicted model, not a curated record.